GGGCCGCGGUAUACUGACCGUGCGAAGGUAGCAUAAUCAAUAGUGUUUUAAUUGAAGACUGGAAUGAACGGUCGGACAAGGGGUUUACUGUCUCUAAAAUGAAUCUUGAAGUUUACUUUUAAGUGAGAAGGCUUAAAUAAUGUGGGGGGACGAUAAGACCCUAUAAAACUUGACAAGCUAUGUGAUCAGAUGUAGGAAUUAAGUUGGUGUAAGCUUGAUGGUUGUAUGGUUGUUUUGUUGGGGCGGCAAGGAUAAAAAGAUAAGUAACUGUCUUUAUAUAAAAAUAGCGAUAAUUAGUUUAGGUGAUCCCUUAUUAAGGAUUAAGAGAUUAAGUUACUUUAGGGAUAACAGCGUAAUUUCUCUUGAGAGUUCUAAUCGACGGAGUUAGUUGCGACCUCGAUGUUGAAUUAAGAUGUUAUUUAGGUGCAGGAGUCUAAAGAGUAGGUCUGUUCGACCUUUAAAAUCUU
This 467-nucleotide ribosomal RNA is filed under the name Lysmata cf. intermedia NVS-2010. Its description in RNAcentral is "partial 16S ribosomal RNA". It matches the Rfam family "Bacterial large subunit ribosomal RNA", at positions 1928 to 2597 of the family's 2925-position model. Lineage: Eukaryota; Metazoa; Arthropoda; Malacostraca; Decapoda; Hippolytidae. The record is from RNAcentral.